AUUCCCUUUUGGUGCCUGGCAAACUGGGACUCAUCUUCCUCUGUCUGCUAUUUGCUCUGUAUUAUGUCUGCUCCUUUGGAAGACAAAAAUUUGUGUCCAAAGGGAAAGUUCCAGAAAUGCUUCCAGGGAUGAUGAUGGGACUUUGAUUUCCAACAGUUAUCAUAAGACUAGCAGUAGAAUGGCAAAGCAGAUAAUCAGGAUCUCCCGGGUUUCCAGUUUUACAACACAAAUAAGACAAGUGGUAAGGAAUUUUUGAUUAUUUCAAGGAAAUUAUUGAGAUCACAGUCCGUGGAAUGUAGGACUGACAGGUCCACGAGGAAAUUAAAGUGAGGACAUGGUGAUCUGGCAUCACUUCCGAUCUUAAGGAACAGGUAUCUUCUGUAUGAAUGUUUGAAGACAUAUUGGAAAUCAGGAAUUUGUGGUGGAUGAAUAAAUUUUCUGAAGGGUUUAUUUCUUUAUUAGGAGGAAGAUUACCCUGAGCUAACAUCUGUGCCAGUCUUCCUCUCCUUUGUCCGUGGGAUGCCUCCACAGCAUGGCCGAUGAGUGGAGUAGGUCUGCACCUGGGAUCUGAACCCGCAAACCUCAGGCCCCUGAAGCAGAGCACACACAACUUUAACCGCUCAGCCACGGGGCUGGACUCUAUCUUAUUUAGUUGUGAACAUGAUCGUUUGGGUUAUGUAAAUGUCAGGACCUGGGAGUGAGUCGCUAAGAGUGGGGUAGUUGAUAAUGUCACAAUUGAUUUAAACCCUAAAGAGGCUAAGAGCAACAACUGGCCAAUGGGUUAACAAAAGGAAUAGUCAGAAAACACAGAAAGGAUGGGAAUUGGGAUCUGUAGUAAGCUGGGGGAUCACAUGUCCUCAGAGAGAGUGCCAGGACUUGCACAGAUGAGAAUGGCAAGAGCAAUAAAAGAGAAUAAAAUCACACUGAAACAAGGAGGGGGUGUUACAAGAUGGGGGAGGAAAACUGAUCUGGAGCAGUCCUGAGUUUUGACCUUGAGCUUUCUGUCCUUGACCCGAAUCUGCUUGACGAUGUCCUGGGACACAGGUCAGAAGAGCUCCAGAGGGAGAGAGGAAGGGUGGAAGUACAGGGAAACUGAGAUAAUUGUCCUAAGAAGCCAUGCUUCAUUUCUCAUUUGGGUCCAGUUUCAUGAUUACUUUCACAGGAUGAGAGGAAAAGAAGUGAUGAUGGUCAGGUCUUUGCAGAGGAAGCUGUGUGAUCGUGGGAAUCAACCCAAACCAAAGCCUGGAUUAAGAAUUCCCAUCUCUUUGAGGAUGCGCAGUUACAUAUUCAGAAGAUCUCUAUGUGCUGGAAAUUGGAUUCACAGAAAUGGACAAGGCCUUUGGGGGAUCGUGCUGUCAACAGAGACCUUUUCCGGCAUCAGCAACGUGAC
Molecule: long non-coding RNA, 1390 nt
Filed under: Equus caballus (horse)
Lineage: Eukaryota; Metazoa; Chordata; Mammalia; Perissodactyla; Equidae
Description: lncRNA (ENSECAG00000044060.1)
Source: RNAcentral